Small nucleolar RNA from Carya illinoinensis, 107 nucleotides. NCBI's taxonomy places the organism in Eukaryota, Viridiplantae, Streptophyta, Magnoliopsida, Fagales, Juglandaceae. The record is from RefSeq and is a predicted model, not a curated record.
ACAUUAAUGGGGACACCAGCUAAGUAACUCUUUAAACUGUUCCUAUGCUUGAUAUAAAGUCUCACUAUCCUUUUGUGUAAAAGUUGAGAUUUGCCUUUUCAAAACAU